UACGAAGGGGGCUAGCGUUGUUCGGAAUAACUGGGCGUAAAGCGCACGUAGGCGGAUUGUUAAGUCGGGGGUGAAAUCCCGGGGCUCAACCCCGGAACUGCCUUCGAUACUGGCAAUCUUGAGUCCGAGAGAGGUGAGUGGAAUUCCGAGUGUAGAGGUGAAAUUCGUAGAUAUUCGGAGGAACACCAGUGGCGAAGGCGGCUCACGGGCUCGGUACUGACGAUGAGGUGCGAAAGCGUGGGGAGCAAACAGG
Molecule: ribosomal RNA, 253 nt
Filed under: uncultured bacterium
Lineage: Bacteria
Description: partial 16S ribosomal RNA
Rfam family: Bacterial small subunit ribosomal RNA
Source: RNAcentral